GAUUUAACAGAAAUUAAAAAUAUUAAAAUAAUUUAAACAAAUAGAUUUAAAAUAUUAAAACAAAUUUGACAAAUAAAACUAUCAACGGCUUGGUUGAAAUGAAAGCCUCUCCAAUGGUACAGUCAGUGACUAGGAGAGAAGAAGAGAUGAUGCAAAGAGAGUGUAUAUGUUGAAUGUAUGAAAAUCAGAUCCUUGUAAAGAGAGUAAAGUUCAACCUUUAUAGAAGAAGGUUGUUUUUCCUCCAAAAUCUCACUCUUUGUGCCAUUUGUCCCUAUUUGUGUGUCUUAAUCGUCUCCCAUUAAAGUAGGGGCAACGAGUCAGCCUAACAACCAUGUAUGCAGGCCUCCUCGUCCUCUGCCUCCCCACAUUCCAUUCAGAAUGGGCCAAGCACUGGGCCGAGCUUCUUAGCUUGCCCGCAUCGGAGAGCAGGCCUUGCACAUUGGGCCUCGCUCCAAUGCUUGUCCUGCUUUGAAGCCAGUGUUAGUCGUUGGUCCGAGCUCUAACCUAACCCAACUUCAGGAUGGGCCUAGCAUUAAAACAAAUUUGUUGUAGGAGCUUCAUGACAGAGCUAUGCAACAUUCAUGAGGGAGUUAUGCAGUACUCAUGAGAGAGCUAUGUAGGAGCUUUAAAUUGCCAUUAACUCAAAAAAGAUUUCUCCUGACUAAUUGAAUCAGAGGAUGAUACCAAUCUUCUUUUUUCUUCCGGUUUUAUAGAUUUUACCAUGGAAUCCACAUGCAUAUAACUAAUACUUGAGGAGGUGAAAACAUGCAAUUUUUGUUCAUGUAAAUAAAGCCUUAAUCCUUUUCUCUGUAUGUGGGUAUUCUCUAUAUGUGGAUGCCUGUGCGCACAUGUAAUGAUUUUGACAUUCUGAAUCCAACCUUGAAUAAUAAUUUGCAUGCCUCUCUAUAUAUAUAUGCUCACAAACCAAACCAAACCCAAAUAAUACAAACUACUUACUUGGAAGGAAAAUGUUGGGAUAUUAAUAUUGUGCAUCUACUGCUACGAGUAGAGUAGUAAUAGGUCACAACACAAAGCUAACAUAUUUUUUGUGUCACUGCAAAACAUGGCACAAAUACAUCCUUCCUUCUAGACUUUGUUCCUACAUAACAAAAAAACUUCCCCACCAAACUGUCCACUAUUCACCACUUUCUCAGCUAACCUCAAACUUUUCACCAUCCUCUACGCUUGCUCUCUUGCAUUAUGCAGAGAACUGACAAAAAAAAA
Non-coding RNA from Camellia sinensis, 1224 nucleotides. The record is from RefSeq and is a predicted model, not a curated record. NCBI's taxonomy places the organism in Eukaryota, Viridiplantae, Streptophyta, Magnoliopsida, Ericales, Theaceae.